UACGAAGGGGGCAAGCGUUGUUCGGAAUUACUGGGCGUAAAGGGCGCGCAGGCGGCCAAUCAAGUCAGAUGUGAAAGCCCCGGGCUCAACCUGGGAAUAGCAUUUGGGACUGGUUGGCUAGAGAUCGGGAGAGGAGAGUGGAAUUCCCAGUGUAGAGGUGAAAUUCGUAGAUAUUGGGAAGAACACCGGUGGCGAAGGCGGCUCUCUGGAACGGUACUGACGCUGAGACGCGAAAGCGUGGGGAGCGAACAGG
Molecule: ribosomal RNA, 253 nt
Filed under: uncultured bacterium
Lineage: Bacteria
Description: partial 16S ribosomal RNA
Rfam family: Bacterial small subunit ribosomal RNA
Source: RNAcentral